This 583-nucleotide long non-coding RNA is filed under the name Ananas comosus (pineapple). Its description in RNAcentral is "long non-coding RNA (ACOM_LNC009518)". The record is from RNAcentral. Lineage: Eukaryota; Viridiplantae; Streptophyta; Magnoliopsida; Poales; Bromeliaceae.
GGGGCUCGGCGAUUUGUGUCAAAGGGCGUGAACGAGAGAAGAGAUGUACCAGUUCAACCUGGUAAGAAAUUAACAGCUUAUGAAGCAGGAGAUAAUGAGUUUAUUAAGUUCGCAAGCUUUUAAAAGUAGCAGCUUACCCUCUCUGGCUUUUGGUAGAGAGCUGUGAUCAGGCAAUAGAUAGUAGACUCCUCACCAAAUUUGGAAGUAGUUUGAGAGGGUCUGCGGAUUCCACAUUAAAUACGUAAGGAUAAAAAUAAAUUAACAACAAAAAUUGAAGUUGUAAUAGGAAAAGCUAAGUUGUACCCAUUUAAGUUAAUACUGCUUCAAAAUCAUCUAUUUACAUGUAUACGACGUUUAUGAAAUCUGAAUUUUGACUUAAUUUAAGGGUAUAUAUGUAAGAAAUUGACAAUUAAGUAUACUGACCUUUAUGCCAGACGAGCGCUCAUGCUUGUUGAAUGUACAAUUCCUGCUUAUCUAUGACGUAACAUCCGAUAGUAGUCCCCGGCACAAUGCAGAACUGCUCAUGGAAAGUGCCGACUCGUCGACUUGCUAUAUCAAAGGGAAUGUCUUGCAUAUUGGGCAU